Molecule: long non-coding RNA, 1218 nt
Organism: Monodelphis domestica (gray short-tailed opossum)
Lineage: Eukaryota; Metazoa; Chordata; Mammalia; Didelphimorphia; Didelphidae
Source: RefSeq, a predicted model, not a curated record
UUGUGACGAUGUGAAGAAACGCCAAAUUUCGGUUAUAGGUUAGUGAAAAUAAGGCUCGUUGGCAGGGGUGGGGUGGGAGUGUAUUAUAUAAAGGUCAGAUUAAGAGUCCCUGGUCUAGAUAAGUGAGCCGCGGGACUUGACAUCGGAACGACUCUUUUUUUUUUUUUUUAAGGAAAAUAAUUUCAGCCGUUGCAUGGAGGAUAGAUUGGAGUGGGCAGAAACUUGAUGCGUAAGAACAUCAGAAGGCAAGUGGAAUCGUCGGGCCUAUAGGUCAUAAGGGCCUGAAACAGUUUGGUGGCCUUGCGAGUAAGUAGAGAGAAGUAGAGAGAUCCGAGGCAUUAUGGGGAGCCGGAAUGGAUCAGACCUGUUGACGGAUUGGGUAGAAGAGGUGAGGAGGGAUGAAUCCCAUCGCUUCUGUCCAAUCAGCGUUAAGGGACUUGCCAGGUUCACCCAAUGGGGAAGUGUCUGCGGACUGAUUUGAGGCUAGGUCUUCCUGACGCCUGUCCACGAACUCUAUCCCAGUGCUGCCCUGCUGCCUCACAAUAGUAGCUUUUUAAUAAAUGCUUGUUCCCUUCCUUCAUGUUAGUUGCUCUGCUGCUCAUGAGGGAAUUAGAGUCAUCUCAUCUACCUCGUAUCACCUUCUGUAGCAAAUUGAAAGAUCUGUAGUCUUUCCUCUGCAAAGGACAGGCUUCUUAAAUGCAAGCCUCGCUGGUGGAUAAUGAGUAUAUCUAGAGAAAGCAUCACAACAACAUGAGUAGAAGACAGUAGCUUUUCGGAUUUAGUUCCUCCUCAUCCAUAUGAAAUAUGGGUUCCUACUGUAUUCAUCCCUUUACAAAGUUGCUCUGCCCACAAUCAUUUACCACAUAAACAAUAAAAGGCCACCAGAAUUUAUUGAGUGGGGGAGAUAUUAAAGAAAAGAAAGAAGAGGACUAGGGACAGAACCUUGAGGCAUUUAAUGAAUGAGACCCAGAAGGACCAAGCAGACAGCUCAGAAUUCCUGAGUUCUGUGGAUGAAGUGAUCCAGCAGCCUCAACCUCUCCAGCAGCAAGAAUUGUAAAUGUGUGUACUAUGCCCUGAUAUGUACCUAUUUUCCAAGGAUCAGCCUAGAUGAAUAAAAAUGGGCUUAUAAUAAAUAAUGUAGCAAUUAGUUUGAUGACAUAGUUGGCUAGGACAACUUGUGAAAUAAGGAAAAAAAUUUAAUGGAUCUUGGUCCCAUGA